This 228-nucleotide ribosomal RNA is filed under the name uncultured bacterium. Its description in RNAcentral is "partial 16S ribosomal RNA". It matches the Rfam family "Bacterial small subunit ribosomal RNA", at positions 15 to 245 of the family's 1533-position model. The record is from RNAcentral.
GAUCAUGGCUCAGAUUGAACGCUGGCGGCAUGCCUUACACAUGCAAGUCGAACGGCAGCACGGACUUCGGUCUGGUGGCGAGUGGCGAACGGGUGAGUAAUACAUCGGAACGUGCCUGGUAGUGGGGGAUAACUACUCGAAAGAGUGGCUAAUACCGCAUGAGAUCUACGGAUGAAAGCAGGGGAUCGCAGGACCUUGUGCUACUAGAGCGGCCGAUGGCAGAUUAGG